GACGAACGCUGGCGGCGUGCUUAACACAUGCAAGUCGAACGGAAAGGCCCUGCUUUUGUGGGGUGCUCGAGUGGCGAACGGGUGAGUAACACGUGAGUAACCUGCCCUUGACUUUGGGAUAACUUCAGGAAACUGGGGCUAAUACCGGAUAGGAGCUCCUGCUGCAUGGUGGGGGUUGGAAAGUUUCGGCGGUUGGGGAUGGGCUCGCGGCUUAUCAGCUUGUUGGUGGGGUAGUGGCUUACCAAGGCUUUGACGGGUAGCCGGCCUGAGAGGGUGAACGGCCACAUUGGGACUACGGGACGGCCCAGACUGCAACAGGAGGCAACAGUGGGGAAUAUUGCACAGUGGGCGGAAGCCUGAUGCAGCAACGCCGCGGGCGGGAUGACGGCCUUCGGGUUGUAAACCGCUUUCGCCUGUGACGAAGCGUGAGUGACGGUAAUGGGUAAAGAAGCACCGGCUAACUACGUG
RNAcentral lists this ribosomal RNA (468 nucleotides) under uncultured bacterium. RNAcentral describes it as "partial 16S ribosomal RNA". It matches the Rfam family "Bacterial small subunit ribosomal RNA", at positions 28 to 507 of the family's 1533-position model. The record is from RNAcentral.